This 232-nucleotide ribosomal RNA is filed under the name uncultured bacterium. RNAcentral describes it as "partial 16S rRNA". It matches the Rfam family "Bacterial small subunit ribosomal RNA", at positions 505 to 736 of the family's 1533-position model. The record is from RNAcentral.
GUGUCAGCCGCCGCGGUAAUACGUAGGUGGCAAGCGUUGUCCGGAUUUACUGGGCGUAAAGGAUGUGUAGGCGGAUAUUUAAGUGAGAUGUGAAAACUAUCGGCUCAACUGAUAGACUGCAUUUGAAACUGUGGAGCUUGAGUGAAGUAGAGGCAGAUGGAAUUCCCGGUGUAGCGGUGAAAUGCGUAGAGAUCGGGAGGAACACCAGUGGCGAAGGCGAUCUGCUGGGUUU